RNAcentral lists this ribosomal RNA (253 nucleotides) under uncultured bacterium. Its description in RNAcentral is "partial 16S ribosomal RNA". It matches the Rfam family "Bacterial small subunit ribosomal RNA", at positions 524 to 776 of the family's 1533-position model. The record is from RNAcentral.
UACGAAGGGGGCAAGCGUUGUUCGGAUUUACUGGGCGUACAGGGAGCGUAGGCGGUUGGGUAAGCCCUCCGUGAAAUCUCCGGGCCCAACCCGGAAAGUGCGGAGGGGACUGCUCGGCUAGAGGAUGGGAGAGGAGCGCGGAAUUCCCGGUGUAGCGGUGAAAUGCGUAGAGAUCGGGAGGAAGGCCGGUGGCGAAGGCGGCGCUCUGGAACAUUUCUGACGCUGAGGCUCGAAAGCGUGGGGAGCAAACAGG